This 454-nucleotide ribosomal RNA is filed under the name uncultured bacterium. RNAcentral describes it as "partial 16S ribosomal RNA". It matches the Rfam family "Bacterial small subunit ribosomal RNA", at positions 28 to 507 of the family's 1533-position model. The record is from RNAcentral.
GAUGAACGCUGACAGAAUGCUUAACACAUGCAAGUCAACUUGAACUUCGGUUUGGGUGGCGGACGGGUGAGUAACGCGUAAAGAACUUGCCUCACAGAUAGGGACAACAUUUGGAAACGAAUGCUAAUACCUGAUAUUAUGAUUAUAUGGCAUCGUAUAAUUAUGAAAGCUAUAUGCGCUGUGAGAGAGCUUUGCGUCACAUUAGCUAGUUGGAGAGGUAACGGCUCACCAAGGCGAUGAUGGGUAGCCGGCCUGAGAGGGUGAUCGGCCACAAGGGGACUGAGACACAGCCCAUACUCCUACGGGAGACAGCAGUGGGGAAUAUUGGACAAUGCACCAGGAGUCUGAUCCAGGCAUUCUGUGUGCACGAUAAAGUUUGUCGGAAUGUAAAAUGCUUUCAAUUAGGAAGAAAAAAAUGACGGUACCAACAGAAGAAGUGACGGCUAAAUACGUG